This 410-nucleotide unclassified non-coding RNA is filed under the name Lessingia arachnoidea. Its description in RNAcentral is "partial external transcribed spacer". The record is from RNAcentral. Lineage: Eukaryota; Viridiplantae; Streptophyta; Magnoliopsida; Asterales; Asteraceae.
UUGGUUUGAUACGGGUGGUCGGCUCCCUGCUUGAGCAGGCACGGCCACGCGUGCAUUCCUUUUCAGCUGUGCGGCAAGGCUUGUAUAGUCUUGAUCGUAUAAGUGGGUUUCCUGUGUUGCAUACCUGAUCAACGGCAUCGUUUCGAUCAAAAGCUUACCUUUUUCGUCUAGUGUUGCACCCGCACCAUUGGAUGAACCGCGUAGCAUUCUCUUUGAUCCACACAAUUGACAUUCAUUGUUAGUUGUUUGGCCCAUUGAGCGUGUCUUGGUCCCUUGAAUAUGGAAGCCAAAGUGGGCACGGGAUCGUAAGAUCCGUUUAGUGCCCUAAUUGAGCGUUUUCGCUUCUCUUAYACGACUGCCUCUCACGUAUGGCACGUCCCAGCGUGUUUGGCUAUGUCGAAGAGGAAUGU